This is a long non-coding RNA of Pyrus x bretschneideri (Chinese white pear), 394 nucleotides long. RefSeq lists it as uncharacterized. The transcript is spliced from 3 exons. Lineage: Eukaryota; Viridiplantae; Streptophyta; Magnoliopsida; Rosales; Rosaceae. The record is from RefSeq and is a predicted model, not a curated record.
CUAUCAAAAUGCUCAAUCCAAAAUUUGAGGAGAACUUUGUUAAGGGCAGAGACUAUGAUCCAGAUCGGGAACGAGCCGAGAGAAGAAAGAUGAAGAAACUUUUGAAGCAAGAAGCUAAAGGGGCUAUUCGUGAACUGCGUAAGGAUAAUUCUUUCCUGUACGAGGUGAAGGCAAGGGAUAAGGCGCUGAUGGAAGAAGAAAAAGCUGAGAAAUAUGGAAAGGUACGACUUUUCCUACAAGAACAAGAACACACUAUGAAUUCUGGGCAAUUAGGCAAAGGCAAAGGCAAGAAGAGAAGGCGAUGAGUUUGGUUGUUUUGGUUGCGUAGUACCUUCUCAUGACUUUUGCCUUCAAGGUCAAGGUAUGGCGGCCUUGCAUCGCGGACGUUAAGGGA